This is an RNA transcript of Phascolarctos cinereus (koala), 4628 nucleotides long. It is a transcript of the gene named scavenger receptor cysteine-rich type 1 protein M130-like, with no coding region annotated. The record is from RefSeq and is a predicted model, not a curated record. Lineage: Eukaryota; Metazoa; Chordata; Mammalia; Diprotodontia; Phascolarctidae.
CACCUCCGUUCUUUCAGCUCAUUCUUUUCCAGCAGGGAAAGGUGACUGGCAGAGCUCAUAUGGUCCCUUUCUCUGGGCCAGCAUCUUUAACAGAAGAUAGAGAAAGCACUUCAGCACCACUGACUUCUCAAGACACAGAAAGAGAUGAGUAGACAGAAAUGGAGACCACCUGGUGAUUCUCCCCACAAACAGUAUGGAAGCUACUGGCCCCAGCUGAAUGCCUGGAUUUAUGGGCUUCUCAUCCUGUUCUUGAGUGCCUAUUUUCUUACCAGCUGCGUUGGGGACUCUAACUUGGAGCUGAGGCUGGCCAAUGGAAGCAGCAGAUGUGCUGGGAGAGUGGAGGUGAAAUUCCAGGGUCAGUGGGGCCUGGUGUGCAAUGAUGGCUGGGGCAGAAAUGAGAUUUCUGUGGUCUGCAAGCAGCUGGGGUGUCCAUCUACUUUCAUCAUCCCUGGGUGGAGGAAUUGGACUGUUGCACCUGGACCCUUUUGGUUGGCUGGUGUUUCCUGUCAUGGCAGCGAAUCUAACCUUUGGGAUUGCAGACACAAUGGCUGGAGAGAGCAUAAUUGCACUCGCAGUCAAGAUGCCCAAGUGACCUGCACAGGUGAAGAAGACUUGGAACUGAGGCUGGCAGAUGGGACUAAUCGCUGUGAAGGCAGAGUGGAAUUAAAAGUCAAAGGACAGUGGGGUACUGUGUGUGAUGAUAGUUGGGGCAAUAAGGAAGCUUCCAUAGUGUGUAGACAGUUGGGGUGUGGAUCAGCUCUUCAUUCCCUCGGGGAUGCUAAGAAUGGAUCUGGCCCCAUUUGGCUUGAUGAAGUUUCCUGUCUUGGUAAUGAAUCAGCUCUCUGGAACUGCCAACACAGUGAAUGGGGACAGCAUAAUUGUAAUCAUGAAGAGGAUGUAUCCAUCCUCUGCUCAGAGGGAACAGAUCUGGCCCUGAGACUGGGGAGUGGAACGAGCACCUGUUCAGGGCGAGUGGAGAUGCGAGUAAAUAACCAGUGGGGGACAGUCUGUGAUGACAACUGGAACAACAAUGCUGGGGCUGUGGUGUGCAGGCAAGCAGGGUGCCCCUCUGCUAUGAAUGCCUUGCUUAGGGUUAAUGCUAGUGAUGACAUUGAGCACAUUUGGUUUGAUGACAUUUCCUGCAAUGGGAAUGAGUCAGCUCUCUGGGACUGCAAACAUAGAGGAUGGAAAAACCACGACUGUGGCCACAAUGAGGAUGUUGGAGUACUGUGUUCAGACCCAUCUACCCUGAAGCUGAGGCUUCUUGGUGGAAGCAGCCGAUGUGCAGGAGUAGUGGAGGUGAGAGUCCGUGAGGAGGUGGGAGUUGUGUGCAGAAGAAGCUGGUCACUGGAUGAAGCCACUGUGGUUUGCAGGCAGCUGGGCUGUGGAGUUGCAGUCAGCAUCCCCUUGGAGUACAAUUUUGAAUACAUCCCUGAGCACAUCUGGAUCAGUGGAAUCAAAUGCUACGGAAAAGAGGAAUCUUUUUGGGAUUGUGGGAAUUGGGAAUGGGGAAAGAUUUCCUGUCAUGAGGAUGAAAAGGCUGCUGUCAUUUGCUCAGACCACAUGCAGCCACGACUGAGAGGAGGAGACUUUGCCUGCUCUGGGAGAGUGGAAGUGAAGCACCGAGGCAUCUGGGUGUCUGUCUGCAGUCCUGACUUUUCUUUGCAGACGGGCACUGUGUUGUGCCGGGAGCUGCAGUGCGGCGCCCUAGUCUCCGUCCUGGAUGGGGCUCACUUUGGAGAAGGAGGUGGCCAGGUCCUGCCUGAGGAGCUACAGUGUCAAGGCAAUGAGUCCCAUGUCACGUUGUGCCCUACAGGGCCCAUUUACAGCAGGAAAUGCAGCUCUGACAGGACCAUUGGCAUCAUCUGUUCAAGGUACAGAGAUUUCCAGCUGGUGGAUGGCGACUCCAAGUGUGAGGGGCGUGUAGAGAUCCAGGUCCAGGGGGUCUGGGGAGCCCUCUGUGGCUCCCACUGGGAUCUGGCCAAUGCCAAUGUUCUCUGCAAGCAGCUUGACUGUGGAGUCGCUGUCUCAGUUCCCACAGGAGAGCAUUUUGGAAAAGCAAGAGGUGCUGUAUGGGGGCAUGCAUUUCAUUGCUCAGGGACUGAGCCUUACCUGGAGACUUGUCCAAUGACUGCCUUGGGAGCCCCACUUUGUUCCCCUGCAAAUAUUGCUUCUGUGAACUGCUCAGGAAACCAUUGGGAUGCUCAAUUCCAGUGCCAAGGUGCCCAGGCUCAGUCACCUUUAUGCUCAGGCUUGGACCAGAUUGCUUCUCAACAGACAUUUCUCCCCGUAGAGCUGAGACAGAUCAACCUUGUGAAUGGUGGAGAUCGCUGUGCUGGAAGAGUUGAGGUCUACCAUGAGGGUGCCUGGGGCACCAUCUGUGAUGACUCCUGGGACCUAAAUGAUGCCCAGGUGGUAUGCAGACAGCUUGGCUGUGGAGUGGCCCUCAAUGCCACCAUCUGUGCUCAUUUUGGAGCAGGAACUGGGCCCAUCUGGCUGGAUGAUAUGAACUGCUCUGGGAAUGAAUCCAGUGUGUGGCAAUGUCCCUCAAGAAACUGGGGGAAGCAUGAAUGCAGGCACAAGGAAGAUGCAGGGGUGCUCUGCUCAGAGGUCAUGUCUCUGAGGCUGCUCAGUGAGACCAACACCCAGGUUUGCGCAGGACGACUGGAAGUCUUCUACAAUGGGACCUGGGGCAGUGUUGGCCGAUAUAACAUGACUGCAGUCACUGUGGGAGUGGUCUGUAGGCAUUUAGGCUGUGGGGACAAUGGGAUUCUUGACCCUGCUCCUACAAACAAGGCAAGUUCCAGAACCAUGUGGGUCAGUGGUGUUCAGUGUCCUAAGGGAUCUACCUCCUUCUGGCAGUGUCCAUCAGAUCCAUGGGAGAAGAGACCAUCCAAUGCAAGAGAGGAGGCCUGGAUCACGUGUGUUGGCAAGAUAAGAGUCCAAGGAGGAGACAAGUGCUCAGGACGUUUGGAGGUCUGGCAUGAAGGCUCCUGGGGCACAGUAUGUGAUGACUCCUGGGAUCUGGCUGAUGCUGAGGUGGCUUGUCAACAACUAGGCUGUGGCUCAGCCUUGGGUGCCCCAGGAGAGGCUGCAUUUGGCCAAGGAAUUGGGCCCAUCUGGCUGAAUAAUAUUCAUUGCAAAGGAAAUGAGUCCUCUCUUUGGGACUGUAUUGCUGAUCCCUGGGGUCAGACAGAUUGUGGGCACAAAGAAGAUGCUGGUGUGAGGUGCUCAGGUGUUCCCAUGACUGCAGAACCUCAGGAAUCCUCAGGUCACAAAGCAUUCAGAUUGUUCUGGAUCCUUGGGGUCAUCCUGAUAGUACUGUUCCUGCUUGUUCUCUUGCUGUGGUCCAAGGCUAGAAGAUGGACUUACCAAGUCAGAGGAAAUCUUCUUCAAGAAGCUAUUUACAAGAAGAUGAAUGUUCACCAGAAGGAGGAUGAAGACCUACAUCUAUUCAGCAACCCAGAAGCUCCUAAUGGCUUAAGUGGUGCUCCAAGAUCUGGUUGUGAAGUUGCUGGAGAAGUCUCUGAGCCUGAACCAUUUCCCAUUUUCUGGAUUAACAAAACGGAUGCUUUGGCAACCCCAGAAGAAAGGAACAGGAACAAAAAUUCUACAAGUCAACAUCUACAAGCCCUUGAAAGAGACACCACCUUUUGAAUAGAAGUUGGAAAAAACUGUCACUUGGAUAAACACCAUUGUGAUGUGGAGCUCAGCUUCUUUGGCUUCUGGAGGGAAAAGAGGUGACCUCCAGAAUGGAAGAGAGCUGCACUUUCCAUCUUGUUGCUUUUAUCUCCUACUUGAUCUCUAGCCUCCAAAGAGAAAAGGAAAGAAAAUAAGAAUGGAGAGAAGUGGGCACCUUCCAUCUUUUCCUGUAUCCUGCUUGAUUUCCAGCCUCUCAUGGGAGAAGGAAGUGGAGAGGUGGGCUUUUUACUAUCAUGUCCCACAUGGCUCCUGUACAAUGAACCUCCUGUGGGAAGAGGGAAAAUGCCAUUCCCUCAUAUCAAUCUCCUGCUGCUGGAGUGUUGGAAGAAGGUGCUAUGCCAUCAAAUUCCAAGCUGGUCUCUUGCCGUGGGGAAAGAAAGUAUCACCACUCUUGCUCCAAGUUCUCACUCCCUUGCUAGAACUUCCCAGAGUUCUGAAAUGAUUCAGCCCUUAGAUCAUGUGGAGUUAUGAUUUUUAUGUUCAUUGAUAUGAUAUGUCAUGAAUAUACUAAUAGAUUUGAUUUUUCAGAAUUGCUUUUUGGCUUGUGAGUCAAAAGUGUACGAUGUAGCUUGAAACAAUCAAUCUAAUUUUGACAACUCUCAUCAUCUCACAAUCACAUCCUUGUGCCUGUGUAUCUAAAGUGAAGCAAAUCAGAUUGUAGAAUCUAUUCUGAUCACAUAACUCUGGUUCUGUACCCUAGGAGAGGUGGUCACCACCCCCAAAGAGUUGACUCCAGAAUUGUUGUAUUGUAAGAUUUGUGAUUUCUCAUGGGAAACCACUAAGCAAUUGUUUGUAGUCCACUUUCCCCCUCCCUUUCCAUUUAUGAUUUAUGUAUAUAAUCUCUUCACUUCAGCAAGGUGGAAUUCUGAUCAGGAGAAUUCCCAAUUUGCAAAUAUGUUCCUAAUAAAACCAAUUCAUUAAAUGGC